UACGGGGGGGAGCAAGCGUUUGUUCGGAUUUACUGGGCGUAAAAGGGCGCGUAGGCGGUCGUGACAAGUCACUUGUGAAAUCUCCGGGCUUAACUCGGAACGGUCAAGUGAUACUGUCGUGCUAGAGUACAGAAGGGGCAACUGGAAUUCCUGGUGUAGCGGUGAAAUGCGCAGAUAUCAGGAGGAACACCGGUGGCGAAGGCGGGUCUCUGGGCCGUAACUGACGCUGAGGAGCGAAAGCAUGGGGAGCGAACAGG
RNAcentral lists this ribosomal RNA (257 nucleotides) under uncultured bacterium. RNAcentral describes it as "partial 16S ribosomal RNA". It matches the Rfam family "Bacterial small subunit ribosomal RNA", at positions 524 to 776 of the family's 1533-position model. The record is from RNAcentral.